This is a non-coding RNA of Podarcis lilfordi (Lilford's wall lizard), 68 nucleotides long. Lineage: Eukaryota; Metazoa; Chordata; Lepidosauria; Squamata; Lacertidae. The record is from the annotation of a GenBank genome assembly.
GAUUGUUCAGUCGGUAGAGCAUGAGACUCUUAAUGUCAAGUUCCUGGGUUUGAGCCCCACAGAUUGCA